AACGACUCUCGGCAACGGAUCUCCCGGCUCUCGCGCUCGAUGAAGAACGUAGCGAAAUGCGAUACUUGGUGUGAAUUGCAGAAUCCCGUGAACCAUCGAGUCUUUGAACGCAAGUUGCGCCCGAAGCCACUAGGCCGAGGGCACGCCUGCCUGGGGCUCACGC
Molecule: ribosomal RNA, 163 nt
Filed under: Hydrocotyle bonariensis
Lineage: Eukaryota; Viridiplantae; Streptophyta; Magnoliopsida; Apiales; Araliaceae
Description: 5.8S ribosomal RNA
Rfam family: 5.8S ribosomal RNA
About the family: 5.8S ribosomal RNA (5.8S rRNA) is a component of the large subunit of the eukaryotic ribosome.
Source: RNAcentral